AAUCUUGCGCAAUGGCCGAAAGGCUGACGCAGCGACGCCGCGUGUGGGAUGAAGCCCUUCGGGGUGUAAACCACUGUUGCCCGGGACGAACGGGCGGAUUCAUCCGCCGUGACGGUACCGGGUGAGGAAGCACCGGCUAACUCCGUGCCAGCAGCCGCGGUAAUACGGAGGGUGCGAGCGUUGUCCGGAAUCACUGGGCGUAAAGGGCGCGUAGGCGGCUCGGUAAGCGUGUGGUGAAAGCUCGGGGCUCAACCCCGAGUCUGCCGUGCGAACUGCCGGGCUGGAGCACUGUAGAGGCAGGUGGAAUUCCGGGUGUAGCGGUGGAAUGCGUAGAGAUCCGGAAGAACACCGGUGGCGAAGGCGGCCUGCUGGGCAGUUGCUGACGCUGAGGCGCGACAGCGUGGGGAGCAAACAGG
Molecule: ribosomal RNA, 416 nt
Filed under: uncultured bacterium
Lineage: Bacteria
Description: bacterial SSU rRNA
Rfam family: Bacterial small subunit ribosomal RNA
Source: RNAcentral